CGGUUUCUGUGCGAUCACCAAAGUUAAGCAACGUCGAGACUGAUUAGUACCUAGAUGAGUGAAUGCUUGGGAAUACCAGGUGCUGUAAG
This is a non-coding RNA of Acanthosepion pharaonis, 89 nucleotides long. NCBI's taxonomy places the organism in Eukaryota, Metazoa, Mollusca, Cephalopoda, Sepiida, Sepiidae. The record is from the annotation of a GenBank genome assembly.